UACGGGGGGGGCAAGCGUUGUUCGGAAUUACUGGGCGUAAAGGGCUCGUAGGCGGACAACUAAGUCAGACGUGAAAUCCCCAGGCUCAACCUGGGAACUGCGUCUGAUACUGGAUGGCUUGAAUUCGGGAGAGGGAUGCAGAAUUCCAGGUGUAGCGGUGAAAUGCGUAGAUAUCUGGAGGAAUACCGGUGGCGAAGGCGGCAUCCUGGACCGACAUUGACGCUGAUGAGCGAAAGCUAGGGGAGCAAACGGG
RNAcentral lists this ribosomal RNA (253 nucleotides) under uncultured bacterium. RNAcentral's name for it is "partial 16S ribosomal RNA". It matches the Rfam family "Bacterial small subunit ribosomal RNA", at positions 524 to 776 of the family's 1533-position model. The record is from RNAcentral.